Molecule: ribosomal RNA, 426 nt
Filed under: uncultured bacterium
Lineage: Bacteria
Description: partial 16S ribosomal RNA
Rfam family: Bacterial small subunit ribosomal RNA
Source: RNAcentral
GUGAGGAAUUUUCCGCAAUGGGCGAAAGCCUGACGGAGCAAUGCCGCGUGAAGGAUGAAGGCCUAUGGGUUGUAAACUUCUUUUCUCAGAAAAGAAUUAUGACGGUAUCUGAGGAAUAAGCAUCGGCUAACUCUGUGCCAGCAGCCGCGGUAAGACAGAGGAUGCAAGCGUUAUCCGGAAUGAUUGGGCGUAAAGCGUCUGUAGGUUGUUUAAAAAGUAUUCUGUCAAAGAUUAGGGCUUAACCCUAGAUAGGCAGAAUAAACUUUUAAGCUAGAGUUUGGUAGAGGCAGAGGGAAUUCCCGGUGGAGCGGUGAAAUGCGGAGAUAUCGGGAGGAACACCAAAGGCGAAGGCACUCUGCUGGGCCAAUACUAACACUGAGAGACGAAAGCGAGGGGAGCAAAUGGGAUUAGAUACCCUGGUAGUCC